UGGGGAAUAUUGGACAAUGGGGGCAACCCUGAUCCAGCAAUACCGCGUGUGUGAAGAAGGCCUUCGGGUUGUAAAGCACUUUGGGCGGGGAAGAAGGUAUUCUGUUUAAGAGAUGGGAUAUUUGACGGUACCCGCAGAACAAGCACCGGCUAACUCUGUGCCAGCAGCCGCGGUAAUACAGAGGGUGCGAGCGUUAAUCGGAAUUACUGGGCGUAAAGGGCGCGUAGGCGGAUGUGCAAGUGAGAUGUGAAAUACCCGGGCUCAACCUGGGAACUGCAUCUUAAACUGCAUAUCUGGAGUACUGUAGAGGAUAGUGGAAUUUCCGGUGUAGCGGUGAAAUGCGUAGAGAUCGGAAGGAACAUCAGUGGCGAAGGCGACUGUCUGGACAGAUACUGACGCU
RNAcentral lists this ribosomal RNA (400 nucleotides) under uncultured bacterium. Its description in RNAcentral is "bacterial SSU rRNA". It matches the Rfam family "Bacterial small subunit ribosomal RNA", at positions 355 to 747 of the family's 1533-position model. The record is from RNAcentral.